Molecule: ribosomal RNA, 320 nt
Filed under: uncultured Prevotella sp.
Lineage: Bacteria; Pseudomonadati; Bacteroidota; Bacteroidia; Bacteroidales; Prevotellaceae
Description: partial 16S ribosomal RNA
Source: RNAcentral
GGAGUUUGGACCGUGUCUCAGUUCCAAUGUGGGGGACCUUCCUCUCAGAACCCCUACUGAUCGAUGGCUUGGUGGGCCGUUACCCCGCCAACAACCUAAUCAGACGCAUCCCCAUCCCUUAGCGACAAGUCUUUGGUUCAAAUCAGAUGUCCUCUUCGAACAACAUAGGGUAUUAAUCCGACUUUCGCCGGGCUAUGCCCUACUAAGGGGAAGGUUGGAUACGCGUUACUCACCCGUGCGCCGGUCGCCAUCGGAGAAAGCAAGCUUCCUCCAUGCUGCCCCUCGACUUGCAUGUGUUAAGCCUGUAGCUAGCGUUCAUC